This 431-nucleotide ribosomal RNA is filed under the name uncultured bacterium. Its description in RNAcentral is "bacterial SSU rRNA". It matches the Rfam family "Bacterial small subunit ribosomal RNA", at positions 355 to 796 of the family's 1533-position model. The record is from RNAcentral.
UCGAGGAUCUUUGGCAAUGGGCGCAAGCCUGACCAAGCGACGCCGCGUGUGCGAUGAAGGCCUUCGGGUUGUAAAGCACUGUCGAGGGGGAUAAAGCCGCAAGGUUGAUUGAUCCCUGGAGGAAGCACGGGCUAAGUUCGUGCCAGCAGCCGCGGUAAGACGAACCGUGCGAACGUUGUUCGGAAUCACUGGGCUUAAAGGGCGCGUAGGCGGCUUAUCAAGUCCGGGGUGAAAGCCCCCAGCUCAACUGGGGAAGUGCCUUGGAAACUGGUAGGCUCGAGGGAGGUAGGGGUCGGGGGAACUUCUGGUGGAGCGGUGAAAUGCGUUGAUAUCAGAAGGAACGCCGGUGGCGAAAGCGCCCGACUGGAUCUCUACUGACGCUGAGGCGCGAAAGCUAGGGGAGCAAACGGGAUUAGAUACCCGUGUAGUCC